UUUCUCCUUCGGCUGUGAGUCAAGGAAACAAAGAUAUAGGAAGGCGACAAGGUGGCGCAGAUGGUGUGUGAUGCCAGGACUAUGGAAGAGACUUGGGACGUUAUUAAGUUUUCCGCAUUUUAAUAAUUAAUAAGCAUUCGAAGAUGUAUUUUAUGUUCAUGUCAUUUGAGAUUAUUUUUGUUUAGAUUGCAUGGUGAUGAGUUCUAUUUAAUAAGUAGUUAUUUUGAUGUUUGUCACU
Molecule: long non-coding RNA, 238 nt
Organism: Zingiber officinale
Lineage: Eukaryota; Viridiplantae; Streptophyta; Magnoliopsida; Zingiberales; Zingiberaceae
Exons: 2
Source: RefSeq, a predicted model, not a curated record